Molecule: transfer RNA, 77 nt
Filed under: Trichonephila inaurata madagascariensis
Lineage: Eukaryota; Metazoa; Arthropoda; Arachnida; Araneae; Nephilidae
Description: tRNA-Thr
Rfam family: tRNA (bases 9-77)
About the family: Transfer RNA (tRNA) molecules are approximately 80 nucleotides in length. Their secondary structure includes four short double-helical elements and three loops (D, anti-codon, and T loops).
Source: RNAcentral
GCCGCUCCACCUAGUAUGGUAUUUACGACACUCGACUAGUAAUCGAGUGGGCUCGGGUUCGAAUCCCGAAUAAGGCA